UACGGAGGGAGCUAGCGUUGUUCGGAAUUACUGGGCGUAAAGGGCGCGUAGGCGGCCAUUCAAGUCGGAGGUGAAAGCCCAGGGCUCAACCCUGGAAUUGCCUUCGAUACUGUUUGGCUAGAGACCGGAAGAGGUAAGUGGAACUGCGAGUGUAGAGGUGAAAUUCGUAGAUAUUCGCAAGAACACCAGUGGCGAAGGCGGCUUACUGGUCCGGUUCUGACGCUGAGGCGCGAAGGCCAGGGGAGCAAACGGG
This 253-nucleotide ribosomal RNA is filed under the name uncultured bacterium. RNAcentral describes it as "partial 16S ribosomal RNA". It matches the Rfam family "Bacterial small subunit ribosomal RNA", at positions 524 to 776 of the family's 1533-position model. The record is from RNAcentral.